This 183-nucleotide ribosomal RNA is filed under the name uncultured soil bacterium. Its description in RNAcentral is "partial 16S ribosomal RNA". It matches the Rfam family "Bacterial small subunit ribosomal RNA", at positions 26 to 218 of the family's 1533-position model. The record is from RNAcentral.
AGCCUGAACGCUGGCGGCGUGGCUAAGACAUGCAAGUCGCACGGAUGUAGCAAUACAUUAGUGGCGAACGGGUGAGUAAUAAAUCGCUAACGUACCCUGGGCUCUGGGAUAGCCGGUUGAAAGAUCGGGUAAUACCAGAUGAUACCUUCCUACCGCAUGGUGGGAAAUUCAAAGCUCCGGCGG